This is a long non-coding RNA of Daktulosphaira vitifoliae (grape phylloxera), 1338 nucleotides long. RefSeq lists it as uncharacterized. The record is from RefSeq and is a predicted model, not a curated record. The transcript is spliced from 5 exons. Lineage: Eukaryota; Metazoa; Arthropoda; Insecta; Hemiptera; Phylloxeridae.
UUAUAUGAUAAAAAUAAUUAUUAUUGAUAAGGCCGCGCACUUGCUCUCAGAAUUGGGGAAAAUUCUAAAAAUAGCUUAAAUACAAUGCACUUUGGUUGUGUAUGAUGUCAGUGUAAUAGAGGCUUCAUACAAUCGUGAUUCUGAAAUUUUUUAUUAUGUUAAGUAAACUAAGUAGUUAAUAGUUAAGUGAUAAUCAACAACUUAAAUCAAUUGCUCAAUCUUUAAAUUGUUUAAAGAUUAAACAUUGAAAGAUUAAAGAAUUGAUUUAAACAUCAAUUCUUUUUUCAAACAAAUGUUUUAUAAUACAAGUAAACAUAAAAAUUCUUCAACAUUUAAAUGUUUGUAUGUGCACACAAAAGAAAAUUAAUAUCAGUUUCCCAUACUUCAAAUGCCAAUCUUAGAAUUCGCAUUAAGCUCAUUCAUCCUAACAAGUUGGAUGAAUUUAAUGUCAUCUUUAAAAAUAGGCUUGAUAGAUCUAAAGCUGCAAAUAAAAAACAGUUAAAAAUUCAAGACGUUGAAAAAUGUUUAAAAAAUUAACUCAAACUGAAUUUGAAAGUGUUAAUUUGAAGUUAAUAAUACAGUUUCACCUUUUUCAUUAAUUGAACAUCCAGCUUUCAUAGAUUAUUGCAAACUGAUAUCUCAAAAAGUUCCAGAAUCGCAUAGGACAUUAAUGAGAGAUUGUUGGUCAGUUUUUUAUAGAAUUUUCCAUUGAAAGAACAGUAAAGUGAUUUUACAUCAAAAAUUGUGAUUUGAUCCUGUAAACCUUAAAAAGUCCAGCAAAGUUUUUGCUUGUAGACGUAUGUUUGGUAGACGUACUUUUGAAAAUAAAGCUAAACUUAUUGAUAACGUUUUAAAUAAGUUUGAUUUGUAAAACAAAACCACACUUAUUGUUACUCACAAUGCUGCCAAUUUUGUGAAAGUUUUUAAAAUAUUUUAUGGAAAUGACAAACCAACGGAUGAUUUAAAUAUAAAUGAGGAAGAUGCUAUUACAAAUAUAGACAUUUCUGAUGUAUUAGAUGAUAAUUUGACCAUAAAUAAUUUUGAACAUUUGGUUAUACCUCCAUGCCAGCGAUGUGCUGCUCACACCAUCAAUCUUGUUGUAACAGUAGAUUGUUUAGAAACACUUAGUGAUGAAAUUUAUAAAAGACUUAGAUGUAUUUUUUCUGAUGUCAUGUGUUGUUUAAUAAACAAAAUCAGUCCACACAAUGUGCAGACCGAAUAAAAGAGACUUUUGAUUGUUAUUUUAUUGUACCAAAUGCAAUUAGGUUAGAGUGUACCUAGCACCAUACAUUAGUGCUUCGCUUCCAGGUUUUAUUCAAAUAUCUACGACUCAUUAUU